AGUGAACGCUGGCGGUAGGCCUAACACAUGCAAGUCGAACGGCAGCACAGUAAGAGCUUGCUCUUACGGGUGGCGAGUGGCGGACGGGUGAGGAAUACAUCGGAAUCUACUUUUUCGUGGGGGAUAACGUAGGGAAACUUACGCUAAUACCGCAUACGACCUACGGGUGAAAGCAGGGGAUCUUCGGACCUUGCGCGAUUGAAUGAGCCGAUGUCGGAUUAGCUAGUUGGCGGGGUAAAGGCCCACCAAGGCGACGAUCCGUAGCUGGUCUGAGAGGAUGAUCAGCCACACUGGAACUGAGACACAGUCCAGACUCCCACGGGAGGCAGCAGUGGGGAAUAUUGGACAAUGGGCGCAAGCCUGAUCCAGCCAUACCGCGUGGGUGAAGAAGGCCUUCGGGUUGUAAAGCCCUUUUGUUGGGAAAGAAAAGCAGCAGGUUAAUACCCCGCUGUUCUGACGGUACCCAAAGAAUAAGCACCGGCUAACUUCGUG
Molecule: ribosomal RNA, 492 nt
Filed under: uncultured bacterium
Lineage: Bacteria
Description: partial 16S ribosomal RNA
Rfam family: Bacterial small subunit ribosomal RNA
Source: RNAcentral